Molecule: ribosomal RNA, 669 nt
Filed under: uncultured bacterium
Lineage: Bacteria
Description: bacterial SSU rRNA
Rfam family: Bacterial small subunit ribosomal RNA
Source: RNAcentral
AGAGUUUGAUCCUGGCUCAGGACGAACGCUGGCGGCGUGCUUAACACAUGCAAGUCGAACGGAAAGGCCCUUCGGGGUACUCGAGUGGCGAACGGGUGAGUAACACGUGGGUGAUCUGCCCUGCACUUUGGGAUAAGCCUGGGAAACUGGGUCUAAUACCGAAUAUGACCAUGCACUUCCUGGUGUGUGGUGGAAAGCUUUUGCGGUGUGGGAUGGGCCCGCGGCCUAUCAGCUUGUUGGUGGGGUAAUGGCCUACCAAGGCGACGACGGGUAGCCGGCCUGAGAGGGUGACCGGCCACACUGGGACUGAGAUACGGCCCAGACUCCUACGGGAGGCAGCAGUGGGGAAUAUUGCACAAUGGGCGCAAGCCUGAUGCAGCGACGCCGCGUGAGGGAUGACGGCCUUCGGGUUGUAAACCUCUUUCAGCACAGACGAAGCGCAAGUGACGGUAUGUGCAGAAGAAGGACCGGCCAACUACGUGCCAGCAGCCGCGGUAAUACGUAGGGUCCGAGCGUUGUCCGGAAUUACUGGGCGUAAAGAGCUCGUAGGUGGUUUGUCGCGUUGUUCGUGAAAACUCACAGCUUAACUGUGGGCGUGCGGGCGAUACGGGCAGACUUGAGUACUGCAGGGGAGACUGGAAUUCCUGGGGUAGCGGUGAAAUGCGUAGA